UGAAUCCCGCCUGAGUAACUGUUAGCCACAGGCUCAGUAUCGAGUUUUGCAGGCGACGUAUAGACAUCAUCGGUUGAAGUCGUCGCUUGAAGCGUACACAGAAAGGUAGUGAGGAUGAAGCGAUCGUAGGUGGCCCUGCGACGCUGAAUGGAUGUUAGCCUCGAAAUUUGGUAACUGUCGGAUUCUGCCCAAGGCUUGUGCAUUCCUGAAGGCAACAUCGCUCGCAGCGCUAUCGGCAAGCUGCUAGCGGAGACCCGGGGUCGGCGGCCC
RNAcentral lists this non-coding RNA (270 nucleotides) under Novipirellula galeiformis. The record is from RNAcentral. Lineage: Bacteria; Pseudomonadati; Planctomycetota; Planctomycetia; Pirellulales; Pirellulaceae.